This 65-nucleotide transfer RNA is filed under the name Parablepharis kuhlii asiatica. RNAcentral describes it as "tRNA-Cys". Lineage: Eukaryota; Metazoa; Arthropoda; Insecta; Mantodea; Hymenopodidae. The record is from RNAcentral.
GGUCUUAUAUUCAAAAAAUGAUUUUGGAUUGCAAUUCUAAAGGUGUAGAGAUAAUACUGAGACUU